This is a long non-coding RNA of Gavialis gangeticus (Gharial), 1559 nucleotides long. RefSeq lists it as uncharacterized. The transcript is spliced from 2 exons. The record is from RefSeq and is a predicted model, not a curated record. NCBI's taxonomy places the organism in Eukaryota, Metazoa, Chordata, Crocodylia, Gavialidae.
GACAUCACCAGUGAAGAGUGAGUAUGGGGCACCAGAAAGCCUCAGCCCCCGCUGCCUUGUGGGUGACCCCAUGGAGAGGAAAGGCUAGGGAAGCACACCCCAAAGUCAAAGCAGGAGCCCAGGCUCACAGUGAGUCCUGAGGCAGGGCUCAGGUCAAGAAGGGACCUGAGGAAGCUUCCAGACUCACUGUGAGCCCUGAGUUGCAUUUAGGGAGCCAGGUGUGAGGCUCCAGGGGGGUGGGGCCCUGAGCCUACAGGGAGCUAGUUGUGAAGCUCCUGGGGCAAGGGGAUAAAGGGACUGUGAGUCCAGUGUUGGGCCGGGGAUUGAGGCCCAGUGUUAAGCAGAGAAUGAGGCUUCAGUGGGCCUGGAAGGAGACCAAGAGGCUUCCAAGCCAGGCUGAGAGCCUGAGGGGAAAAAAAGAGGGGCUAGGAGCCCUGAUUGAGUAAGAGACCAGGCUGGGAGCCCAAGGAACAGGGAAGGGAUGGGAGCCCCAAUUGAUAGAGUGACCAUGUGUCAGACCAAGUUAUAGGCCAGGCAUUAGGCCAAGUAAGCUACAGGCUGGGUGUUAGGCCAUGGAUGCCAUCUGUGAGGCAUGGGACAUGGUAUAGGGAAGGUUAGAGCUGUGAAUAUAGGCCCUUGGCAUCUGGGCAAGUACAUGGGCAGCCUCCUGCCUUGUUAUUGUGUCUUAAUUACUAUCAUCAAAGGCAUGGCAGGUGAAGUAGGUGGGCAGUUUGCCAUGAAACAAGUAGGCGAGCCAAUGUUCAGACCCACUGGGACGCCCACUUUUUACAAUCUUGUAGAAACAACUGACUGUACUCUGGGGCUUGUGGACAUCUGUAUGCACUCAGAGACAUGCAUUAGCUACCCUGGGGUAUUAUUUAUGAUUAUUUAUUACUACAGGAGUGCCCAGAUGAGGGCUGCAGUGUCUAGGAUGUUCUACAACCACAGUAAGAGACUGUCCUUGCUCUGAAGAGUUUACAACUUAAUCUAAGACAUGGAUCAACAAGAGGAAUGGAGGAAGGAUGACAAGAAAGUGACAUGAGUCACAUAGGCUGAGUAUAACUGAACAGAAAGAACAACUGAUAGAUGGUAAAGAUGGUAUAACUGCUGAGGUAGAUUAAGAUAUAUUCCUAUCACUUAAAGAUGACCCUCACCGCAAAAUUCAGAAGAAUCAAAGAAUCAAGCUGGAAGGGACCCCUGUGAGGUCAUCUCUUCUACUCCCAGCUCAGCCCAGAGCCAUACCUGUCUAAUCAUCCCAGACAUGAUUUUCAACAUCCACAAAGUCAAGUGUUCAGUUCUGGGCGGGGGCUGUUGGAACAGCCCUAUACACAACAAGGGGCAGCAUCUAGGGAAUUUGGUUCCUGGUUCUGGGUUUGGAGAUCAGACCCUUCCCAAGGGUCAGAGGUGGCAGAGCCAACGUUUUUGAAUGGUAUCCAAAAGGCUGACUGGACCUUCACCCUCCUUUGCUGCCCUUCAGCAGAGUGCAUCUGCCACUCCCUCCACACAGUGCCAUCACGUCAAAGCAAGACUGCUUCAAAUAAACACUCAUUAGUGGCUGA